RNAcentral lists this long non-coding RNA (273 nucleotides) under Brassica napus (rape). RNAcentral describes it as "long non-coding RNA (BNAP_LNC021242)". The record is from RNAcentral. Lineage: Eukaryota; Viridiplantae; Streptophyta; Magnoliopsida; Brassicales; Brassicaceae.
CUUGACUUGUUCCACAUGGUCAAGCUUGAGGGGGAGUGUUGAGAUGAGAGAAUAAAGAGUUGAUAUAUUGAGAGAGGAAGAGAGUUGGAGUAGACAGUAACUUUGGAGUUUUACUGUGGUAACUUUAGUUUAACCACAGUAACAACUUGGGAAGUUAUCUGAUGGCAUGAGAAGGUAACUUAGUGAAGGGAAGAGAGUAAACUCGACCAAAGAGGAUAAGGAAGGAUAAGGGAGCACUUUAACAGCCUGUAUGAUGCUGGAAAGGAGAGGAUG